UUUUGUUUUUUGUUUUUCGUUUGGUUUUGUUCUCUCUUCGAUCCACGCUUUUUUUUUUUUAUUUAUAUUUUUUCAGAAGAAGUGAACACAAAAAAUAAAAAUGAGACAUCUGGAUGAUGCACACAAAAAACAAAAGA
RNAcentral lists this non-coding RNA (137 nucleotides) under Lotharella globosa. Lineage: Eukaryota; Cercozoa; Chlorarachniophyceae. The record is from RNAcentral.